This is an intron RNA of 541 nucleotides. It matches the Rfam family "Group I catalytic intron". Rfam says of the family: Group I catalytic introns are large self-splicing ribozymes. They catalyse their own excision from mRNA, tRNA and rRNA precursors in a wide range of organisms. The core secondary structure consists of 9 paired regions (P1-P9). The record is from Rfam.
CUACGGACUUAAUUGGAUUGAGCCUUAGUAUGGAAACUUACUAAGUGAUAACUUUCAAAUUCAGAGAAACCCAGGAAUUAAAAAUGGGUAAUCCUGAGCCAAAUCCUCUUCUCUUUUCCAAGAACAAACAGGGGUUCAGAAAGCGAAAAAGGGGGAUAGGUGCAGAGACUCAAUGGAAGCUGUUCUAACAAAUGGAGUUGACUGCCCUUUUUGGUAAAGAAAAAAGAAAGUAAAAUGAAUGCUUCUAUCGAAUAUCGAAACUCGAUAAAGGAUGAAGGAUAAGGGUAUAUAGACUAUGGAUACGCAGCGAAAAACUAACUCAAAAAUCACAACCAAAUACGUAUUUCUUUUUAUGAAAAAGAAAAAGAAAAGAAUUGUUAUUGUUAUGAAUCGAUUCUAAGUUGAAGAAAGAAUCGAAUAUUCCCGGCUCAAAUCAUUCACUCCACCUCCAUGGUCUGAUCGAUCCUUUCUUUUGACUUUUGAAGAACUGAUUAAUCGGACGAGAAUAAAGAUAGAGUCCCAUUCUACAUGUCAAUAUCAA